Molecule: ribosomal RNA, 492 nt
Filed under: Dendropsophus ruschii
Lineage: Eukaryota; Metazoa; Chordata; Amphibia; Anura; Hylidae
Description: partial small subunit ribosomal RNA
Rfam family: Bacterial small subunit ribosomal RNA
Source: RNAcentral
GCCUAGCCGUAAAAUUUUAUUUACAUUAUACACCGCCAGGGAACUACGAGCAAAGCUUAAAACCCAAGGGACUUGACGGUACCCCACAUCCACCUAGAGGAGCCUGUCCUAUAAUCGAUAACCCCCGCUUAACCUCACCAUUUUUAGCCUAUCAGCCUGUAUACCUCCGUCGUCAGCUUACCACGUGAGCGUCAAUUAGUGAGCUCAAUGUUUAUACAUCAACACGUCAGGUCAAGGUGCAGCAUAUAAAAUGGGAAGAGAUGGGCUACACUACCUAAUGUAGAUAAUACGAAAGACUAUAUAUGAAACCUAGUCAGAAGGCGGAUUUAGAAGUAAGAAAAGAUCAAAGUGCUUUUCUUAACCCGGCACUGGGGUGUGUACACACCGCCCGUCACCCUCUUCAAAGCAAUAAAACAGUCUUUAACUAAAUAAAUGCCCCGUAGAAGAGGCAAGUCGUAACAUGGUAAGUAUACCGGAAGGUGUGCUUGGAAA